AUUGAACGCUGGCGGCAGGCUUAACACAUGCAAGUCGAACGAUGAUUAUCUAGCUUGCUAGAUAUGAUUAGUGGCGGACGGGUGAGUAACAUUUAGGAAUCUGCCUAGUAGUGGGGGAUAGCUCGGGGAAACUCGAAUUAAUACCGCAUACGACCUACGGGUGAAAGGGGGCGCAAGCUCUUGCUAUUAGAUGAGCCUAAAUCAGAUUAGCUAGUUGGUGGGGUAAAGGCCCACCAAGGCGACGAUCUGUAACUGGUCUGAGAGGAUGAUCAGUCACACCGGAACUGAGACACGGUCCGGACUCCUACGGGAGGCAGCAGUAGGGAAUAUUGGACAAUGGGGGCAACCCUGAUCCAGCCAUGCCGCGUGUGUGAAGAAGGCCUUUUGGUUGUAAAGCACUUUAAGCAGGGAGGAGAGGCUAAUGGUUAAUACCCAUUAGAUUAGACGUUACCUGCAGAAUAAGCACCGGCUAACUCUGUGCCAGCAGCCGCGGUAAUACAGAGGGUGCGAGCGUUAAUCGGAAUUACUGGGCGUAAAGCGAGUGUAGGUGGCUCAUUAAGUCACAUGUGAAAUCCCCGGGCUUAACCUGGGAACUGCAUGUGAUACUGGUGGUGCUAGAAUAUGUGAGAGGGAAGUAGAAUUCCAGGUGUAGCGGUGAAAUGCGUAGAGAUCUGGAGGAAUACCGAUGGCGAAGGCAGCUUCCUGGCAUAAUAUUGACACUGAGAUUCGAAAGCGUGGGUAGCAAACAGGAUUAGAUACCCUGGUAGUCCACGCCGUAAACGAUGUCUACUAGCCGUUGGGGUCCUUGAGACUUUAGUGGCGCAGUUAACGCGAUAAGUAGACCGCCUGGGGAGUACGGCCGCAAGGUUAAAACUCAAAUGAAUUGACGGGGGCCCGCACAAGCGGUGGAGCAUGUGGUUUAAUUCGAUGCAACGCGAAGAACCUUACCUGGUCUUGACAUAGUGAGAAUCCUGCAGAGAUGCGGGAGUGCCUUCGGGAAUUCACAUACAGGUGCUGCAUGGCUGUCGUCAGCUCGUGUCGUGAGAUGUUGGGUUAAGUCCCGCAACGAGCGCAACCCUUUUCCUUAUUUGCCAGCGGGUUAAGCCGGGAACUUUAAGGAUACUGCCAGUGACAAACUGGAGGAAGGCGGGGACGACGUCAAGUCAUCAUGGCCCUUACGACCAGGGCUACACACGUGCUACAAUGGUAGGUACAGAGGGUUGCUACACAGCGAUGUGAUGCUAAUCUCAAAAAGCCUAUCGUAGUCCGGAUUGGAGUCUGCAACUCGACUCCAUGAAGUCGGAAUCGCUAGUAAUCGCAGAUCAGAAUGCUGCGGUGAAUACGUUCCCGGGCCU
This 1355-nucleotide ribosomal RNA is filed under the name uncultured bacterium. RNAcentral describes it as "bacterial SSU rRNA". It matches the Rfam family "Bacterial small subunit ribosomal RNA", at positions 28 to 1381 of the family's 1533-position model. The record is from RNAcentral.